Homo sapiens (human) is the source of this 1610-nucleotide long non-coding RNA. Ensembl annotates it as small nucleolar RNA host gene 7. Its record names the gene SNHG7. NCBI's taxonomy places the organism in Eukaryota, Metazoa, Chordata, Mammalia, Primates, Hominidae. The record is from Ensembl.
GGCUGGUUUUGAACUCCUGACCUCAAGUGAUCUGCCCGCCUCGGCCUCCCAAAAAACGCAGUGUUUAUGUGAUGCUCCUCUGUGGUGUUUGCAAGAUUUAUACAAAAUUGCGGUUUCUUUUUUUCUCUAGGACGUCUGCUCACUGGAGAUGACACGUGCGUGGGGUGUUGGGUAAGUUGGUGCAUUGGAGCUGGAACAGGGUCAAUCCUCCAAUGUAACUAAGCCCUCCUGUGCAACAUCUUAAGUGACUGGAGGGACCAGUCGGUCUUGUGUUCACAUUGAGGCUAGAAGCUGUCUCCAGGGGAGUAAAAACGGAUUAUUUAGUCUUCAACAGGACACUGCCCCUAGAGGCGUUGCAGCUGUGGCUGCCGUGUCACAUCUGUGUCAUUAGGUGGCAGAGAUUAGAGAGGCUAUGUCUACGCUCAGCGUUCUGCCCCGUGAACGUUUGAAUGUUUGAUAGUCUCACACUCCUGUUUUGUGGACAGGCAUCUGUUUUCCUUCGCUGGUAUCUGGGAGAGAGGGUGGGCCCUGUGAGUGGGCUUUCUAACUCUCGCGCUGGGCUAGGCUGGCCUCUAGGGGUCUGAAGGGAUAGUGGGAAGGUGGAGGGUGCCUUCACCAGGAGCAGCCUUCAUGAGUGAGUUUUAAGAACCUGUGAGGAUCGGUCAGGUCAGGUGAGGUACGCGCUGGAUCAUGCCGUACACCGUGUCAGGAUCACGCAGGACAGGACUGGGGAAGGGUUUGCUGGCGUCUCGGUUAAUAGCAGUAACGGCAGCCGCUUGUGUUCUUGAUUCUUUGCCAAGCAUUCUUGUUAUUUAACACGGGAAGGAGGUGACUUCGCCUGUGAUGGACUUCCAGUGUGAGCACUGGCCAGAGUGACCAGGCUGACCAGCACCAGCCCUGAUCCAGAUGCAGAGGCCAGGAUGUGGGCCCAGCCCUGUGCCAGGAGGCUGGCUGGAAUAAAGGUACAGAUAGAGGCCUCACCCCCUCUGGGACCACUGGCACUCAGGGUGUUUGCAGCCUCAGAGCCCACCUGCCCCCAGGGCCACAGCUGCAUCUCCUGCCCUGCUGUCAUUACAGGGAUGGGCAGGCUGGCAUGGGGGCAGCCGCUGCCCCUGCCUGGGUGUUGCUGUGUAUUCCUGCCGGCCAGGGGCCACUGCCAGGACCACGCCUCCCUUUUCAUAUCCCGAUUCUUAAGUUCUGCUAUUGUGGUAUUCUGGUGGAGAAAAAAGAACCGCGUGGCUGUUUUUGAACUGCCUGGAACCUAAGACCCUGAAUUCUUUUCCCCCCCAAGGGGAAAAUCUAUAUGGAAAACAUUUAUUUUAAAAUACAGGAUGAAGUGAAUUAAAAGAUUUAAAUGCACAUUUCUUUAAGGAUAAUAUUUCUGUGUUGGCAAAAUUUGAGAGUAAAUUGGUCUUGAAUGGAAUGGAUUGUCUUGACUCACACAUUGCGGAGCAGAGCCCGCCCUGAAGAAAGGUGUUGCUGUGGUGGGAUCUUCCCACGAGGGUCCUUGCCUGUUCUCCUAGGGGAUGGUUGCUGGGUGCCCUGGGCUACUGGGGAGAGCGUACGGGGCUGGAGAAGAUGGCCAUUCCUGGGCUGUUUCCUAGGGAAUG